This 468-nucleotide ribosomal RNA is filed under the name uncultured bacterium. Its description in RNAcentral is "partial 16S ribosomal RNA". It matches the Rfam family "Bacterial small subunit ribosomal RNA", at positions 28 to 507 of the family's 1533-position model. The record is from RNAcentral.
GACGAACGCUGGCGGCGUGCUUAACACAUGCAAGUCGAACGGAAAGGCCCUGCUUUUGUGGGGUGCUCGAGUGGCGAACGGGUGAGUAACACGUGAGUAACCUGCCCUUGACUUUGGGAUAACUUCAGGAAACUGGGGCUAAUACCGGAUAGGAGCUCCUGCUGCAUGGUGGGGGUUGGAAAGUUUCGGCGGUUGGGGAUGGACUCGCGGCUUAUCAGCUUGUUGGUGGGGUAGUGGCUUACCAAGGCUUUGACGGGUAGCCGGCCUGAGAGGGUGACCGGCCACAUUGGGACUGAGAUACGGCCCAGACUCCUACGGGAGGCAGCAGUGGGGAAUAUUGCACAAUAGGCGGAAGCCUGAUGCAGCAGCGCCGCGUGCGGGAUGACGGCCUUCGGGUUGUAAACCGCUUUCGCCUGUGACGAAGCGUGAGUGACGGUAAUGGGUAAAGAAGCACCGGCUAACUACGUG